UCCUACGGGGGGGCUGCAGUGGGGAAUCUUGGGCAAUGGGCCAAAGCCUGAUCCAGCACUGCCGCGUGUGUCAUGAUGCCCUUCGGGUGGUAAAGCUCUGUUGUCCGGAAAGAAAUCAUUGUCUUUAAUACAGUAGGGUAAUGACGGUACCGGAAGAAUAAGCCCCGGCUAACUUCGUGCCAGCAGCCGCGGUAAUACGUAGGGUGCGAGCGUUAUUCGGAAUUACUGGGCGUAAAGCGUGCGUAGGCGGUUUGUUAAGUCAGGUGUGAAAUCCCCGGGCUCAACCCGGGAACUGCAUUGGAUACUGCAGAUCUUGAGUAUGGCAGAGGGGAGUGGAAUUCCCAGUGUAGCGGUGAAAUUCGUAGAUAUUGGAGGAACACCAGUGCGAAGGCGCCUCUCUGGCCAAUACUGACGCUUGAGCCGAAAGCGUAGCACC
RNAcentral lists this ribosomal RNA (436 nucleotides) under uncultured Burkholderia sp. RNAcentral describes it as "bacterial SSU rRNA". It matches the Rfam family "Bacterial small subunit ribosomal RNA", at positions 337 to 769 of the family's 1533-position model. Lineage: Bacteria; Pseudomonadati; Pseudomonadota; Betaproteobacteria; Burkholderiales; Burkholderiaceae. The record is from RNAcentral.